RNAcentral lists this ribosomal RNA (554 nucleotides) under Mycobacterium malmoense. Its description in RNAcentral is "bacterial SSU rRNA". It matches the Rfam family "Bacterial small subunit ribosomal RNA", at positions 44 to 601 of the family's 1533-position model. Lineage: Bacteria; Bacillati; Actinomycetota; Actinomycetes; Mycobacteriales; Mycobacteriaceae. The record is from RNAcentral.
GUGCUUAACACAUGCAAGUCGAACGGAAAGGUCUCUUCGGAGAUACUCGAGUGGCGAACGGGUGAGUAACACGUGGGUAAUCUGCCCUGCACUUCGGGAUAAGCCUGGGAAACUGGGUCUAAUACCGAAUAGGACCCCGAGGCGCAUGCCUUGGGGUGGAAAGCUUUUGCGGUGUGGGAUGGGCCCGCGGCCUAUCAGCUUGUUGGUGGGGUGACGGCCUACCAAGGCGACGACGGGUAGCCGGCCUGAGAGGGUGUCCGGCCACACUGGGACUGAGAUACGGCCCAGACUCCUACGGGAGGCAGCAGUGGGGAAUAUUGCACAAUGGGCGCAAGCCUGAUGCAGCGACGCCGCGUGGGGGAUGACGGCCUUCGGGUUGUAAACCUCUUUCACCAUCGACGAAGGUCCGGGUUUUCUCGGAUUGACGGUAGGUGGAGAAGAAGCACCGGCCAACUACGUGCCAGCAGCCGCGGUAAUACGUAGGGUGCGAGCGUUGUCCGGAAUUACUGGGCGUAAAGAGCUCGUAGGUGGUUUGUCGCGUUGUUCGUGAAAUC